GCGUGGCGGCAGCUACACAUGCAAGUCGACGGUAACAGGAAGCAGCUUGCUGCUUUGCUGACGAGUGGCGGACGGGUGAGUAAUGUCUGGGAAACUGCCUGAUGGAGGGGGAUAACUACUGGAAACGGUGGCUAAUACCGCAUAACGUCGCAAGACCAAAGAGGGGGACCUUCGGGCCUCUUGCCAUCAGAUGUGCCCAGAUGGGAUUAGCUUGUUGGUGAGGUAACGGCUCACCAAGGCGACGAUCCCUAGCUGGUCUGAGAGGAUGACCAGCCACACUGGAACUGAGACACGGUCCAGACUCCUACGGGAGGCAGCAGUGGGGAAUAUUGCACAAUGGGCGCAAGCCUGAUGCAGCCAUGCCGCGUGUAUGAAGAAGGCCUUCGGGUUGUAAAGUACUUUCAGCGGGGAGGAAGGUGUUGUGGUUAAUAACCGCAGCAAUUGACGUUACCCGCAGAAGAAGCACCGGCUAACUCCGUGCCAGCAGCCGCGGUAAUACGGAGGGUGCAAGCGUUAAUCGGAAUUACUGGGCGUAAAGCGCACGCAGGCGGUCUGUCAAGUCGGAUGUGAAAUCCCCGGGCUCAACCUGGGAACUGCAUUCGAAACUGGCAGGCUUGAGUCUUGUAGAGGGGGGGUAGAAUUCCAGGUGUAGCGGUGAAAUGCGUAGAGAUCUGGAGGAAUACCGGUGGCGAAGGCGGCCCCCUGGACAAAGACUGACGCUCAGGUGCGAAAGCGUGGGGAGCAAACAGGAUUAGAUACCCUGGUAGUCCACGCCGUAAACGAUGUCUACUUUGGAGGUUGUGCCCUUGAGGCGUGGCUUCCGGAGCUAACGCGUUAAGUAGACCGCCUGGGGGAGUACGGCCGCAAGGUUAAAACUCAAAUGAAUUGACGGGGGCCCGCACAAGCGGUGGAGCAUGUGGUUUAAUUCGAUGCAACGCGAAGAACCUUACCUGGUCUUGACAUCCACAGAAUUCUGCAGAGAUGCAGAAGUGCCUUCGGGAACUGUGAGACAGGUGCUGCAUGGCUGUCGUCAGCUCGUGUUGUGAAAUGUUGGGUUAAGUCCCGCAACGAGCGCAACCCUUAUCCUUUGUUGCCAGCGGUUAGGCCGGGAACUCAAAGGAAACUGCCAGUAAA
This 1134-nucleotide ribosomal RNA is filed under the name Salmonella enterica subsp. enterica serovar Kentucky. Its description in RNAcentral is "bacterial SSU rRNA". It matches the Rfam family "Bacterial small subunit ribosomal RNA", at positions 35 to 1159 of the family's 1533-position model. The record is from RNAcentral. Lineage: Bacteria; Pseudomonadati; Pseudomonadota; Gammaproteobacteria; Enterobacterales; Enterobacteriaceae.